This 29-nucleotide small RNA is filed under the name Bombyx mori (domestic silkworm). RNAcentral describes it as "ovarian small RNA-6775". Lineage: Eukaryota; Metazoa; Arthropoda; Insecta; Lepidoptera; Bombycidae. The record is from RNAcentral.
UCAAGUAGUCCGUGGGUGCGCGGUGCGCG